This 588-nucleotide ribosomal RNA is filed under the name uncultured Rubrobacter sp. RNAcentral's name for it is "bacterial SSU rRNA". It matches the Rfam family "Bacterial small subunit ribosomal RNA", at positions 338 to 918 of the family's 1533-position model. The record is from RNAcentral. Lineage: Bacteria; Bacillati; Actinomycetota; Rubrobacteria; Rubrobacterales; Rubrobacteraceae.
CCUACGGGAGGCAGCAGUCGGGAAUCUUGCACAAUGGGCGAAAGCCUGAUGCAGCAACACCGUGUGAGCGAUGAAGGCCCUAGGGUCGUAAAGCUCUGUUGUUAGGGACGAAGGGCGAAGGGUUAAUAGCCCUUAGACUGACGGUACCUUUCGAGGAAGCCCCGGCUAACUACGUGCCAGCAGCCGCGGUAAUACGUAGGGGGCGAGCGUUGUCCGGAAUUAUUGGGCGUAAAGAGCGUGUAGGCGGCUUGGUAAGUCUGCUGUGAAACCUUGGGGCUCAACCCCAAGCGUGCAGUGGAUACUGUCAAGCUAGAGGAUGGUAGAGGCCAGUGGAAUUCCCGGUGUAGCGGUGAAAUGCGCAGAUAUCGGGAGGAACACCAGUAGCGAAGGCGGCUGGCUGGGCCAUUCCUGACGCUGAGACGCGAAAGCUAGGGGAGCGAACAGGAUUAGAUACCCUGGUAGUCCUAGCCGUAAACGAUGAACACUAGGUGUGGGGGGAGUCGAAUCCCUCCGUGCCGAAGCCAACGCGUUAAGUGUUCCGCCUGGGGAGUACGGCCGCAAGGCUAAAACUCAAAUGAAUUGACGGGG